UACGAAGGGGGCUAGCGUUGUUCGGAAUUACUGGGCGUAAAGCGCACGUAGGCGGACAUUUAAGUCAGGGGUGAAAUCCCAGAGCUCAACUCUGGAACUGCCUUUGAUACUGGGUGUCUUGAGUAUGGAAGAGGUGAGUGGAAUUCCGAGUGUAGAGGUGAAAUUCGUAGAUAUUCGGAGGAACACCAGUGGCGAAGGCGGCUCACUGGUCCAUUACUGACGCUGAGGUGCGAAAGCGUGGGGAGCGAACAGG
Molecule: ribosomal RNA, 253 nt
Filed under: uncultured bacterium
Lineage: Bacteria
Description: partial 16S ribosomal RNA
Rfam family: Bacterial small subunit ribosomal RNA
Source: RNAcentral